UGUCCUUGAAGAGCAGGUUUGAGAGUCUGCAUCUGUGUUUCCGGCGCCCUUCCAACUGGAAUGGCUUCUUCCUAGCAACCCACUGGUCCACGGGCAGUCCAGGAGCCAGCCUUCUGAUCUGGAGGGAGGAGGAUUUGUGGGCGGCCCUAGCCCCUCUGCCCGCUCUCACAGACCCUCUCCAGAAGAAAGACCAGACCGUUGCUCAGUCAACAGUUUGCAAGGAUUCCAAUCAAAGCUUCUACGUCCCUUUGAAGUUCCUUCACAUAAGCCAGACAGGAUUCCCAGAGUCUUCAGGACAGAGCUCUCAGUGGCGGCCCUCAGCCUUUCCAGUCUGGUCUCCAUGAAUAGCUGGACUAGAAACGUGUCUGCAAUCUCACUGAGCAUCAGCGUAUUUUCGAGAGACAGGGUUUCUCCGUGUAGCUUUGGAGCCUGUCCUGAAACUCGUUCUAUAGAUCAGACUGGCCUCGAACUCACAGAGAUCCGUCUGCCUCUGCCUCCUGUGUGCUGGGAUUAAAGGCAUGAACCACCA
Molecule: long non-coding RNA, 529 nt
Filed under: Cricetulus griseus (Chinese hamster)
Lineage: Eukaryota; Metazoa; Chordata; Mammalia; Rodentia; Cricetidae
Description: lncRNA (ENSCGRG00015033930.1)
Source: RNAcentral